UUCCGAGACAGGUCUCGCUCGCUCUUGCGCAGACCCAAUAUAUAUAUUUUUUCUAUUCAUAACAACCGCGUGAAAGAGAACUCUCAUAAAGGAAAUUGUGUGAGGUGAGACAGGAAACAGAGAUUAAUACCUUAUCAGUGAAGACAAUUCACACAAGUGGGAACGGGGAACGGUGAGUUAUAUAACACAUAAAUCGACGAAAAAAGUGAAGAAACCGAAACGAACGACCAAGCAGAAACAAGUUACAACAAGUAUUGGGGAAAAAUGUAUUGAGAAUUUUUAAACGAUGAGGUUGAGAUUAACAGCGCCGCCGCACAUAUACACAGUGGUGUGUUCCUAUUCCACCGUCACUUUCGUUAGAUACCAUACAUAACUGAACAGGUAAGUUGUUCUGCGCCCAGACAAACGUAGAAACAGAUGCACUUUCGUCGUCUGUUGCCACAUUAAUUGUGUGUUCUCUUUGCUUACAUUUUCUCAUGUCAGUGCACGUCUUUCCACAGAAUCAAUAUGAUAAAUUCGACCUCCUGGCGCAUUGUCGCUGUUUUCUGAAGAAAAAAUUUAUAGUUCGUUACUUUUUAUGUUCAUUUCAUGCUUGGAGUGAUUAUAUACCCAAAAGUGUUACUCAUUCUUU
Long non-coding RNA from Toxorhynchites rutilus septentrionalis, 631 nucleotides. RefSeq lists it as uncharacterized. The record is from RefSeq and is a predicted model, not a curated record. Lineage: Eukaryota; Metazoa; Arthropoda; Insecta; Diptera; Culicidae. The transcript has 3 exons.